GGUACACCCGGCCGGGCACCUCUUCCCCGCCGCCGCCGCCGGUGACGGCGAACCCGAACACCGUGAGCCCGAGCAGCGCGGCGAUGAGGAGGAGCAUCACCAGGAGGUAGAGCCACAGCGCCCACGCCACGUUGAAGCACGCCCCCACGAACCCCGUCAGCGACACCAAGAGAACCACGAAACCCAGCACCAGCAGCGGCGUCUGCAGCGACGACUCGCACGUCGCCGAGCUCCGCGCCAGCCACAGCCCCCCGCCGAUGAGCGGGAUCGACGCCAGCAGCGUCAAAAGGUUCAGUUUUGUAGGGGGUAAUGAUGCUUCCCUUUUCCUGGUCCAGAGCAUUUUGAACAGGAUUUCAAAUUUUUGAGUGCCUUGUGCAGGAGGGAGUCAAGUGUUCAAAAGAAUCUGAACAUGAAGUGACCUGUACUUGACAGGGGUCCAUUUCUGGGUGUCCAGUACCUUGUGCCAACUAGUGUGUCGGGGCUUUUUCUGUUUUUGGACCAAGAGAAUCUACUGUAAGCUUCUUAGACUAUUCACAAGUUAUGGAAUCAUCUUCCACACUCAAAGAUCAUGGAAGUUCACAAAAGACUGUCCUUGAUUGCUGCAAUCUGUUUCAUGCAGAAAACAGGCGCGUCUCAGGAUAAGUCAACACCUUGAAGGAACAAAAUUUAAGAUGAUCGAAAACCUUUAGUCGGUAGACUCACUGUCUGUGAAAGGGUUCGGCAAUAAUGCUUGCUUGUAAGAGUAAUGCAGGUCCAUGAACGAGAAAAUCAGAGUGAUACAAAGUUCUCAGUAGACUAUACUACCUAGUUUACUUUCCUAAAUUGGCAUGCAGAAUGAUAUUCAACCAGCUAGAUGGAGAAGCUACAUCUAGCAUCACAUCUUUGUGUGAGCUAUAGCUCCUUAAAAAGUUCGGUGAGACAGAAAAAAAUUCAAACUUGAUUUGUUGUUGCAUCUUCCCCAAAAACAUUGGAAUUGAAAUUGAAAUUGCCACCUAACAUGUGAUAGAACAGAAGAUCAAAAUAGAAGUCAUGGAGCAUAAGAAUUCUUAUUCUAAGCAAAAGAGUCUUCAGAUGGAUCAGGUGCUGGCUUUCCAUCGGUAGGUUCCUCCUUACCAGAGCCAUCUUUCAGUUCAGUGUAUUAAUGUCCAUAUCCUUGACAGGUGCUUCCUCUGUUUCAUCUAUUGGACCAGAAUAUUCCAAACGGCUAUCUUUAUUCGAAUCACAUCUUAUUAACUCUUCUCCAUCAUCGGGUUCAGGAUCCUCUUCCUCCGGUAAGGAAAGGUCAAACUUAUUAACUUUACAGGAAUCAGCAUUUGGUUGGUCAUUUGAUGGUCCAUAAGCCUUACAAAGAUCACUCCACAAGGAUUCUGCAGAAUUAACUUGCUGUCGUCCCAUAUAAUGUUUGAGCUCACUCUGAAGCCCAUGAAAUGGCUGUCAAGUAGAAACAGGAAAUACUUGGAUAAUUUAGAUCCAAGAUAUGCAUUAUAUGGAGGUUAUCAGGAAUCAGAAAGAAUUAUAAGGUUGACACAAAGCAUACAACUGGGCAUUGGUGAAAUUCAAUUAAACGGAGAAGCUGAUAAAGUGCUCUGGAAGUGGUCAAGAAAUAAUAAAUUCACGGUCAAGAAUGCAUAUUUCUUCUUCUCCAAUGGAGGAGUUUACUCUCAGUUUGCCAAGAUCAAUCGGAAGCUGCCACUACCAGAAAAAAUCAAAAUCUUCAAUUGGCUGGCGUUUCACAACAAAAUUCUGACAGCGGACAAUUUACACAAAAGAAAUUGGCCUACACCAACGGUGUGUUGUUGCACAUGUGGAUGUAUGGAGGAAACAGCGACUCACAUCUUUAUAGAGUGCAUUUUUGCUACAUUGGUAUGGAAACAUUUUACAAACACUUGGCAAAUGCCAUUGUCAGAGUGUACCGUGGAAGGUUUAUGGAAUCAGUAGAGAUAAAGAAUUCCAACGGUAGAGAGAAGAGCGACAUGGGAUUGUAUUGUAUCAGUGGUAAUGUGGAGUCUUUGGAUAGAAAGAAACCAACGAAUUUUUAAUGCGGAAGCAAGAGCCCCUGUUAAAAUUGUGGAGGCAGUUAACUUUCUGCUAAAGGAAUGGACAUUGCAGGAAACUAAUAACAACAACAGGUCAACCAGCUUCCAAGUGGGAAACAUUACAAGUCAACAGGACAACUCGAUGCAAGGGAUAGUGCCACAUCAAACGGUGCUUUUAAACGAGAAAGAUGACUGAACCAGCAGCUGAAAUCCAGAUGAAGCAGGGCUAGAUAGGUUCAGACAGAGGGUUGACACGGUUUCUUCUCAGAAUUCGGCAAAGACAGCACUAAUUAGGAUGUGCAGGUUUCUGAGUUCUCACCGAGUUUUUGCAGGAAUUUUGGAAGACAGUUAUCAGAUUUCAUUGCUUUCAGACUUCAGAUUUCAGAAACAAAUCCAGGAUAGAAACAGAUUUCCAAAUAUUAUAGUUUGCUACUUUUGAAGACAUUCUUCAGUGUUCUAUUUUCUGCAGAAAUUGUUGUAGUGUUCAGCUUUCUGAAUUUUUUUCUGAUGGUGCUGUAUUUCAGUUGAUUUUUCAAAUAUUUACAGUUUCCUUCCUCCUUCACUUAGCCAUCUCGGCUAUGGUUUCUAUAUUUUGUAUACUCUCUUUUCAUUCAAAUAAAAACAGGAUGGUUUAUCCUCC
This is a non-coding RNA of Elaeis guineensis (African oil palm), 2676 nucleotides long. NCBI's taxonomy places the organism in Eukaryota, Viridiplantae, Streptophyta, Magnoliopsida, Arecales, Arecaceae. The record is from RefSeq and is a predicted model, not a curated record.